AAUUAGGUCACUGUCGUUAGUUCCGUUGACAUGUGGAUUUUUUUGAAUUUUUUAAAUAUAUUUUUAAUUAUUUUUAUUUUUAUUUUUUAUUUUUUUUCUAUUAAAAUUAAAAUUUGCCACGUGUCAUGACAUUGUGCUAUGUAGCAAUGACAGUGUGAGGCGACACUGUUUUGUUCCAAUUUGGUCCUUGUAUUUUUAUU
This 200-nucleotide long non-coding RNA is filed under the name Vigna radiata. Its description in RNAcentral is "long non-coding RNA (VRAD_LNC004584)". The record is from RNAcentral. Lineage: Eukaryota; Viridiplantae; Streptophyta; Magnoliopsida; Fabales; Fabaceae.